GCAUAUCAAUAAGCGGAGGAAAAGAAACUAACAAGGAAUCCUCUAGUAACGGCGAGUGGACCGGGACAAGCCCAACUUGAAAAUCUGCCUUUGCAGAAUUGUAGUCUAUAGAAGUGCCCUCUGUGGCGGUCGGAACCCAAGUUCGCUGGAAAGUGGCGUCAGAGAGGGUGAGAACCCCGUCGGCUCCCGGCUUCGCUACUCCACGAGGUGCUUUCCACGAGUCGAGUUGUUUGGGAAU
Molecule: ribosomal RNA, 238 nt
Filed under: uncultured fungus
Lineage: Eukaryota; Fungi
Description: partial 26S ribosomal RNA
Rfam family: Eukaryotic large subunit ribosomal RNA
Source: RNAcentral